CAAAAUUUCCAUUAUUCUUUGAAAAAUUAUCCUUUUAUUUGUUUUUAUGUUUAUCUCCUCAAAUAUUUACAUUUUCUAUUUUUUUUUUGGGGGGGGGGUUCCUUGUCCAGCUUUUACUAUACUUAUUUGUCUUUUCUUGUUUAUAGCUCGUUAUUUUAUUGAUUAGAUAUGGAUUUUUAAAUAUUUUGGCCUCGAGCAUCACUAAAGACACAUUGAUUGGCGAAAUGCGCAUCUAGUAUAGAAACAUUGGGACCGUUUGUGCUACUAUUACCACUGGGUCGAUGCUUCUGCUUGUGGACUGAUAGUCCUCGAGAUGGCAAGUAUAAUAGUACUGGCAUGAAAAUACGGAUUUUUUUAUAAUAGAAUUUGCUGUUACAAAAUUUGGGAAAUAAUUAAAAAAAAACAAGGAAUGUAUCUCUCUCAUACAAAGCUCUGAUUCAUAACCCGGC
This 449-nucleotide long non-coding RNA is filed under the name Mytilus galloprovincialis (Mediterranean mussel). The record is from RNAcentral. Lineage: Eukaryota; Metazoa; Mollusca; Bivalvia; Mytilida; Mytilidae.